RNA transcript from Triticum aestivum (bread wheat), 2894 nucleotides. It is a transcript of the gene named putative 2-hydroxyacid dehydrogenase HI_1556, with no coding region annotated. Lineage: Eukaryota; Viridiplantae; Streptophyta; Magnoliopsida; Poales; Poaceae. The record is from RefSeq and is a predicted model, not a curated record. The transcript is spliced from 12 exons.
CUCCCCUUUCCUCCCUUCCCUAGGCUGCCGCCGCCACUGCCCCAGCUCCUCCGCCGCCCGGCACCACAGUACGCCGCCUCUAUCCCCGCCCCGAGCUCCGCCGCCUCCACCACCGGCUCCUCGCUGUAGUGCCAGCACCGGCCCGAACACCAGCUUCCUCACCCCUCCCUUUCUUCCCCGAGUACGGCAGCGGGAGGAGGGCCGCGACGCCGCUGCCGAGCACGGUGGGACCACUUUCGUCUGAUCUGUCGAUUUGCCAGACUCAGGUCGACAUCGCCGCCGCUGUCCAAGGUGAGGAAGAGGAGUGCGGCGGCGAGCUCUUCGAGUCCGGGCCCUCGCUGCUCGUCUUCCUGCUCAUCAUCCAGGGCGGCGGCAUGGACCUCUCCUGCUACGGCGAGAGGCUGCUCAGCUCUGCGCGCUUCGCGCGCUCUCUCGACCUCCCCCCUCCCCGGCCCCAACCCCUUCCUGCUCGAGAAGGAAAUGGAUACUGCUGUCAUUCAGAAGGACUUGGGCCUCCAGUUGGAGAAGCAAUAUUCGGGAAAACAGUAUGCUUUUCGUGUAUAAGAUACUUAUCCUGGGGUUCGGAGCCAUUGGCAUGGAAAUUGCCAAGAGACUAAGACCAUUUGGAGUGAAAAUUCUUGCUAUAAAAAGAAACUGGUCAUCAAAUACAGUGUCUUGUGAUCUUGAUGGGCUGGUUGACAAGAAAGGUGGUCCAGAAGAUAUGUACGAACUCGUUCGAGAAGCUGACAUAGUUAUAACUUGCAUGACGUUAAACAAUGAAUCAGUUGGGAUUGUGGAUCACAAGUUCCUGUCAGCUUUGAAAAAGGUUGUUGGUGAUGUUGCCCUCAAGCUUCACGCGGGGGAGCCAUUCACCAAAAUAGAAUUUGUGAACUAGGCAAACUGAGUAGAUGGCGGCAUUGUUGAUUUAAUUUAAGACGUUCCAGUUUGAAGCGGACACCGUCGUCGUCCCUUAGAUUCCCUCCUCCACCGCAGAUCGACUCCACUUGCGUCGACUCCCGCCGCCGCCGGGGUAUACUCCGCCAAGAUCGCGCCACCACCGCUGCCGCCACUGUGGAGGUUGGAGAUGCAGAGCUUGGUGCAGCAUAUGGAUAAGGCACGCCCAGUUUGACUUGCAUAAACCACUACACAACAUUAUAUGCUAGGAACGACGGGAUGCACGUCAGAAAACUUGUCAUGAAUGAUGCUUCAACGGAUGCUGCAGUCAUCUCAUCUCCGUCAGUCAUGAUGAAAAAACAUAUGAUAAUCCCCAUAAUCCAGUGUCAAUAUUACUGAUUUCUCCAUGUGCUAUGCAGCUUACAGGCAUGGAAAGAGAAUAGGAAAAACGAUAUACUUGCAGCUUCAGGUUUUCUCUAAACUUUUGUUUGCUAUCUUAUUUAAUCACAUGUUCAAUUGAUAAUACACAAAUAUUUGUCUACUUUCAGGCAGCAUUGAGUUUGCUGCACAUAGUUUGUUCCCUAGGGAAUGUUCAGUCUGGUGAAACAUGUUAAGAAGAAGUAUGGAAAUCCGCCUGUGUUCAUUACUAAGAAUGGCAUGAUAGGUUGAAAUAUGUCUUCAAGAUGAUAAGAGGAUACAGUACCACAACGAAUAUGUUAGAUGCUAUAAGGUGAUUUCAUUUCUCUGUGCAUAUGCUAGAACUGAACCACCAACACUGAGCAUCAUCAAUGUGUGCCACUGUAAUCGCUGACCAGAUUGGUACUUAAGUGCUCGAUAUGCAGCCUGAACUACUGCAGUUAGAAUGGAGUUGUUUUAAAUACUAGACUAUCUACAGGACUGAGCGCUACAGGUGCAGAGGAUAGUUCUUUCGAUUAAUUGUCGUGUUGAGGCAAGUGCAUGGCGGACCUUUUCUCCGUAUACUUGACUGUGUUGUUGACGCAGGUCUAUGAAAAUAAGUUGAGUAGUCUGACCAGAGGAUGACAGAGGACGUCGAGAUUUUGAUCCAGCAGCCUUGCCUCCUUUCGUCCGGCGUGCCGCCUGCAGGAGGUUACGUUCUAGAUCUUCAGAAUUUUUAGGUACUCACUCUCCCUUGAUGCUCUUUGAUCGAACCUACUUUGCAGGAAAGCGUGCCAGUAGUAAGAAGUUUUAGCAAGUCUGUUAUUGAAAGUGCUGUAGGCACUGAUGUGAUCCGAGGUGACCAACCUGAGCAGCAGUUUAGUGAAGGUAUACUCAGACCCGAGGAUCCUAGAAAAUUAUAAAUUAUAGUUGUUUGCAUAGCCAGAUCAUUGAUGGGUGCAUAUUAUUGUUUAUACAAGCAAACUUAGUUGAGUAGUUCAUUGAUUAAUUUGGACUAACUGAAUGUGAUCUUCCCAAUCUAAUAUGUGUACUUCUAGCUCUAAGGACUAGCAAGAGUUAAAUAUUGCAGGUUGUAAAUGAUGGAACUCAUAUAACUGAAUGUGAAGGAAGUAACGAGAGUUGCUAAUUUCGUAUUUUUGGUUUGUACAACUCAGGUGUUUGAUACAGUUCUCCUAAAAAGGGAGAAGUGUCUGAGGUGAUUUCUUCUAUGCAUGAUAUUACAGUGUCCUCCCGUAUUUUCUGUUUUUUGUAGGCAUGUUAAAAUGUUGUUGUUCCUUUUGACCACACUAAUGUGUCUGUCCACUCACCAGUCACCACGCCUAACUAUUUUCUAUUUAUUUUUUUGUAGGAAAUCUACUUGCUCUUUCAAGCUAUGAAUAUUUUAGAUCAGUAUAUUUUAAGGUUGUAAAGACUGAUGUGUCGGCUAAAGCUUAAAGAUCAUAAAUUCAUUGUUUACCCUACCAAGUUUAUUUCUCAUUGAAGAUUAUUCUAGAAACUAUAUUAUAAGCCCAUUGCUACUUUUUACAUGUAACUUAUGGUAUAUCCUCAUAUAUGUCAAGACUAUAAAACAAGUGUCUUCGUCC